RNAcentral lists this long non-coding RNA (6890 nucleotides) under Homo sapiens (human). Its description in RNAcentral is "HSALNT0346946". The record is from RNAcentral. Lineage: Eukaryota; Metazoa; Chordata; Mammalia; Primates; Hominidae.
CUUGGGAGCCCUGCCAGCCCACAGGCCCAUCUGCGGCAGGCACGUGGUGCCGCGAGAACUUGGCUCAGGGACGGUUUUUCCGCCAUGCGCAGAUUCUCGCCUCUCGCGGGGGCGCCAGGGGGCAGCUGGUUGAGGUGCGCAUGCGCACUGGCACCUAACGGCUCUUCUUCGAGUCUUCUCAGAGGUUGGAGAUUCCCUGUCUUCUCCAACCUCUGCCAAGUCUUCAGAGAGGUUGGAGUGCGCCUGUCGGAGGUACUAGACCCCAGAUGAGGAUCUCAGGAAGAUCCACAAAGCUGCGUCCAGGGGAACGAACGUGUGGAAGCUGCAGCGGAGCCUCCUGCUCAAGAGUAAAGGACCGGUCUGAAACCUACAAGAACAGAAGAGCCAUGUGACGGGAUCCGUGGUUUGGCAGAGGAGACAUGCGAGAAGACGGAACGUUUUGUCCGAAUAGACAUCUGGCAGGGUGGAACGGAGAGAACAGGUAUGGUGGAGAGAACGUCUGAGAAGGUCGCAGGAUUCGCAGGAGCAUCGGGAAAAGAUUGCCUGCUUGCCCGAAGGAAUGGCAAGUUCCAAAGCUGUGCUGUGGGCAGUGUUUAGUUCAUGUCUGCUUUGCUGGCGGGCCGAGUAGCAACAGCUGCAGUUGGUGUGUUCUCUGAAGGCAGUAUCCGAAGGCUGGAGGGGUUGCUUUUCUUCCCAGGUGUCUUUUGAAGAGGCAGUCAAGUCAGCAGCUCGCGGUGAACUUCUGGUAACAUCGUAUGGGCUGGGUUACAGCACAUGCCGACUGCUAAGCCGGUCACUGGGGAAAACCAUGUGAUUGCUGUGAUGAGCUUAGAAUGAUCAUUCCUCCUUCGGGAGCUGGGGUGGGUUGAGGGAGUGAUAAAGAUCACGAUAACCUUGCAUUUCUCCAGCGAGAAAGAAGAAAGAAAUUCCGUGGAUAGGGAGCCAGCCAGGUUUCCUGCAGAAAAUCAUGGGAAGCUUUUGAGCAGGGGAGUCAGAAGAUGAGCGGUGAGUAUUAGGGCUUUCCGGUCACGGUGUGACACAGGGAUUGGCCAGCUCUUCCUGUAAAGGGCCAGGUGGGAAGCACUCGUAGGCCCCGUGGUCUCUGUCGUGUCUGCUGAAGCCUGCCGUAGUAGCGUGGAAGCAGUCAGAGAUGACGUGUAAGCAAAUGGUCCCGACUGACCUCCGGUAAAGCAUUGAUUCCGGAAGCAUUUAACAGACCUAACAACCUUUCAAACCGCAUGGCGUUUCUUUCCCGGAUCCCGUUUCAGGAACGUUUCUGUUGGCUACAAGGACCGUCUCCAACAUGCUUAGGCUCUGUGAACUUUCCCAGGAUCCUGAGUAGGGUAUCCGCCAUUCGUCCUUAGGGCUCCGGGAUGUCUCGUUCUUACUGUGUCCCUGCCAACCCUGGUCCCAUCUCGUCAUGAUCACCCACUGCAGAAGAGAGGAGGUGCUAGAGUGAACAGGGUCAGGGGAGCCCCGUUCAUCCCCAGGGUCCCAGAAUGAACCAGUGUUACCAUGUACCCCUGCCCUUGCCUUCCUCCCUGCUCUAAUGGCCGUGUGUUAGCCGGAGAUCAGUUUGGGUCUGGGUGCUAUGGGUCUGUUGCGCCUGUGGCCUUGGUCCGGCCUCUGUCCUUGUCUCUGUGAAAUGAGAGUGACUGUGCCUGAGAGCGUUCCAGCAAGACAAUGAUGAUCUCCACUGUCUGAUUCCCGCUUCCCAGGUUCUCACAAUAGAUGAGGAUCCUGUUUUUCAGCCAGCUGCCGCAGAGGGGCUGGACAUUUCUCCCUUCAGACAGGACCAGGAAGGCCCGGAAGCAUCUGAGGAAGGGUGUCGCCAUGAGUAGAGAAAUCGAGGCUAUGGGCGGAAGUGGGAAGAAGCGAGAGAGGAAGACUCAUGGAAAGCCUUGCUGCGCUUGCCAAAAGAACUGCCCUCGGACUCAAGAGGGCCACGUUCAAUGCCAACCUGACAUAAGAAGAGCCAUGUGACCAGAUCCCUGGUUUGGCAGAGGAGACAUGCGAGAAGACGGAACGUUUUGGCCGAGGAGACAUCUGGCAGGGUGGAACGGAGGGAACAGGUGUGGCAGAGAGAAUAUCUGAGAAGCUCGCAGGAUUCCCAGAAGGAGCACUGGGAGUAGAUUGCCUGUUUUCCCGAAGGAACGGCAAGUUCCAAAGCUGUGCUGUGGGCAGUGUUUACUUCAUGUCUGCUUUGCUGGCGGGCCAAGUAGCAACAGCUGCAGUCGGCGUGUUCUCUGAAGGCAGCGUGUGAAGGGUGGAGGGGUUGCUCUUCUUCCCAGGUGUCUUUUGAAGAGGCAGUCAAGUCAGCAGCUCACAGUGGCCUUCUGGUAACAUCGUAUGGGCUGGGUUACAGCACAUGCCGACUGCUAAGCCAGUCACUGGGGAAAACCAUGUGAUUGCUGUGAUGAGCUUAGAAUGAUCAUUCCUCCUUCAGGAGCUGGGGUGGGUUGAGGGAACGAUAAAGAUCCUGAUAACCUUGCAUUUCUCCAGCGAGAAAGAAGAAAUUCCGUGGAUAGGGAGCCAGCCAGGUUUCCUGCAGAGAUUCACGGGAAGCUUUUGAGCAGGGGAGUCAGAAGAUGAGCGAUUCUCACAGUAGACGAGGAGCCUGUUUUUCAGCUAGCUGCUGCAAGGAGCUGGACAUUUCUCCCUUCAAAUAGGACCUGGAAGGCCUGGAAGCAUCUGGAGAAGGGCAUGGCUGUGAGUAGAGAAACAGAGGAUACAGGCUAAAGCAGGAGGAAGCGAGAGGACUCACGGAAAGCCUUGCUGCACUCUCCAAAAGAGCUGCCCUUUUCACGUGAAGAGCUAUGUGAUCGGAUCCCCGGUUUGGCAGAGUAGACAUGCGAGAAGACUGAACGUUUCAUCGUUGAAACCUCUUAAAGGUGGAAUGUGUGGCAGAAAGAACGUCUGAGAAGCUCACGCGAUUUGCAGAAGGAACAUUUGUAGAAGAUUCCCUGUUUUCCGAAGGAAUGUCAAGUUCCAAAGCCAUGCCGUGGGCAGUUUUUAGUUCAUGUGUGCUUUUCCGGUGGACUGAGUAGCAACAGCUGCAGUUGGCGUGUUGUCUGAAGGCAGUAUCUGAAGUGUGGAUGGGUUGGUCUUCUUCCCAGGUGUCUUUUCAACAGGCAGUCAAGUCUGCAGCUCAUAGUGACCUUCCGGAAACAUCAUAUGAAGAACGUCCGAGAAGAUUCAGUGUUUGGCAGAAGAAACCUCUGUCAGACGUGAACGUGUGACAGAAGGGCCAUCCAGGAAGAUUGCACACUGGGCAGAAAGAAGACUUAAGAACAUUGCAUGGACAGCAGAAGGAGUGCUUCGGGAGAUUGCCUGGUGGGCGCCAGGAACACCUGAGAUGAUGUCAUGGCAAACAGUGGAAAUGAGAGGUUUACAUUUAAUGUCUUGUUUACAUAAGGUAGUAAACUCUGGAGCACUUGUGGUUAGGGGUGAAAACUCACCCUGGGUGAAGGAAGAAUCUUCCCUCUUCCCAGAGGGGCAAUGACUGGAAACGAGCAAGUAGGUGGGGUCUUUAAAGGGCCACAGUACUAGGCUCUAUCCUGACAGCUGUUCAGACUGCCCCAAAAGGCUUGUGAGAAGUUGUUGCUAGGGCAUAACAGGACAGUUAGAUUAAGAGUAGGAGUGAUAGCUUCUUCAACACUUUGGAGCAGGAAGGAAUGGAAGCAAGAUACAGUUGGAAGAGGGUGUAGUGGGUGACUUGAUGAAUCGAGUUCAUGGUAUUAUUUUUGACUUGGAUUCUCCUUCAUUGGCAUGCUUCUGAGUUGGCGUCAUUGCCUCUGCCCUGAUCCUUCCCUUGAGUGGGGCUGUUCACCAGUGCAGCGGCCAGUGAGCUCUUUGGGCGGGGUGUGUGGCAUACACAGUGCGAUGUCUGGAAUCUUACACGUGCUUACUUGAGGCAUUCUUACUCCACCGGUCGAGUGUUCUCAAAGAAAGAUGAUGGAGCUGCUAAACCUUGCCCAUUUUGAUCUGUUAUGUGAGACUUGCCUUUCGCCUUCUGUCAUGAUUGUGAAGUGUCCCCAGCCAUGUGGAACUGACACAUAUUGCUUGUCUCUGAACUUCUCAGCUGCCUGCAGAUCUUCCUGUUUUUCAGCUGCAGUUAGGGUUUGUCUGAGGAGAAGCAUAACAUCCCUCCAGGCUUACCCUGGUUGCUCAGUGAAGAAUAAAGUACAGGGAACAUGAGAGAAUACAUGGGAGAUCAAUCAAGAUGCUACUUCAGUAAUCCAUGACAAUGACAACGUAAAGUAAUGCAAGGUGCACGUGAUGGGUAUGGCCAAAUGCUCCACAAAUAAAUGUGUUGAAUGAAUGAACAAAUGAAUAAGCGAAGUGAAUGGAACAUCAAACUGCAUAAAAAUAUAUUUAUUCAUAAAUGAGAGGUGAUGAUUGCCAACAUAUCAUAAUCAGACUCUGACCUUGGUUACUUAUGAGUUUGACAACGAAGAGGAAAGAGGAUCAGAAUGGAUCUACAUUUGUCCUGUGUCAAUGGCUAUCCAGAAGCGGUAACUUUGCUGGUGCACAGAAAGUGCCAGCUUAACGUGUGUGACGGUGAAAACACGACACCUCUGAUGAAGAUAUAUAGUAGCCAGUUAUUUCAGCAUGAGAUGGAUUUGGUUUAAAUACAUAGAAUAAAAAUGGAUUUAUUUCAUUGAAAUGUAACUAAUUUGUGAACCUAUGGAAUAUUUAUUUGUAUUUUCUAGAAUUUACAAUGUGUUUCUUGGUCUAAUACUGACAGGCUAUACAAUGCCAAGAAGAUGUUUAUGCAACUAUUCUGCUGGACUUUGGUGCCUAUCCAGAUAUUACAGAUAUCAACAGAAAAACUGCUCUCCACUGUGCUGUCUAUAGUGAGAAUAUGUCAGUGGUGGCAAAACUGCUUUCACACAACACAAACAUCUAAGUGAAAAAUGGAGUAGAGAAUAACCAACAUUAUUUUCAAAAUAUUUGAAAUCCAUUUGCUUUAACACUGACAUGCGUUAGGGUCAGUUUUUCAUAUUUGGAAGCUCAAGCAUGCUCUUCUGUGAAUGAAAAUAUUCUGAAGUAACUGUCUAAUAAUUUAAAUAUUAAUGUUUUUAAAGAAGUAUUAGACGGUAUAGCUUUCUUUCAUGCAUUUAUGAUAAAUAUUUAAAUUUAUUAAAGGUAAAAGUUUGUUUUUCAAAUAUUUUAGCCACUCAAGUUUUUGUUCUUUCUAAUUAGUGUAAAACAACACAGAAAAGCAAAAUGUGCCUGCAUAAACUGAGUCAACAUGUAAACCUUUUGAUAUUUAUUAUUAAAUAAGUUAUUUGGCAAUGUAUCAAAUUUUUAAAUGUGUGUCCCUUUUGACCUAGAAAUUCUACUCCCAGGAAUUUCUCCUAAGAAGAUAAUCAGAAAAGUUUACAAAGAUGAAUAGAAAAGAAGAGUCACUGCAGCCUUAUUUGUAAAAGUGAAAAAUAGCAACAGCCCAAAUGUCAUGAAUGGAGAAUUAAUAUAUGGUGCAUCCAUACAAAAAUACUGUGCAGCGAGUAAGCCAAUGAAGCCCAAAAUUUCUGACAUGGACAUUGACAUAGCAGAGUGACAAUAACGAGGUUAUAAAACAUCAUCAGUGAAAGUUCCAAGUGUGAAAGCAAGGAUAAAUCAAGAUGCCUCUUGGCAUGAAACUUUACUGGACAACCUUGAAGUCAUGCCAGUACCCAGUCUGCUGAGACCAAUGCUCAAUAGACAUUUCAGCACAGGAAGCCUCUUAAAUCCCUUCAAAGGAAAAUGGGUGUCAUGAAAAUGUCAAGCCUGGCCUUCUCACUACUUACUCAAAAAGUACUUCCUAAGCGCCUACUUUGAGUCACAUCUGGGUCACAGGAAAGUGUGGUGGAAAGUCUGCACAUGGCCCAGAAAGCUCCUUCAGCUCCAACAUUCAGAACCUGCCUGCCUGCCUUCUGAGUAUCCCAAGGGCACUGUCUGACUCUUUCAUACCCACCAUUUGUCUCCCUGGACUUCUUGCUAAAUCCCUGUCUUCACUUCCUCACUUAGGGAAUUCAUGCCAGCUCUCUGACUUGAUCUAUGACCCUGCUCAUCACUGUAGGAGAAAAAAAAAAAAAUACAACCACCUUUCCAUGCUGUCAACUUAAUUAUCCCUCCCACAUUUAUCUCAUGCCUGAAAUGUAUUACCUAAAUGUUGAGUGUGCAGUUCAGGGUAAAACUGACCAACUGGAGCACAUCCAAAGAAGAGCAACCAUGGUAAAAAGAAGCUACAUCAUCAUGUCUGCUAAGGAAGGCUUGAAAUAACUAUGAAUUUUUAUUCUGGAGAAAACGAGACUAAACAAAACCAAUAAAAAUUACUCAAAAAAUAUGAAGCGUUGUUAUGAAGACAAAGGAAGAGGCACUUUCUAAAGAGACUCAAUGUAAACACUGGAAAACAUGGCAGCAUUUUCUUUAAACAGCAUUCAAUGAUGAAAUGGCUACUUGUGGUUCCAGAGGGCUCCCUGUCAUUGCGGGGUGGAGGACUAGAGUGUUUAAGAAGAGGCAAGAAGUGUAAUUUUUUUGUUCUUUAGUGUGGAGCACAGUGUGGGACACAAAGUAGGUUCUCAACAAUUUGAAAGAAUGAGUGGGUGAAAAUAUAAAUGCUCAGAAGAUAUAAAAACUCAGAAGACACUUUGAGAGGGAUAUUGUUUAAUCACUUUAUGCAUCUGAGAGGGAGCAUGACUAGAGGAUUUCUGAGGUCCCUGGGACUGGAAUUAUAUAACUCCAAGGCACUGCAACACCUCAAAGGCAAGACACAGUUCAGACAGAUCAUUUCUCUUAAUAAUCAGGCAUGGGACUAUUGCCCAGGAAUUUUAAAGACAUCUUAAACCUAGUUAUUACAUAUCACAAAACCUCUUGGAAUAAAUGAGUUUCUCACACUAAUAGGU